ACCCCUAUAAUCUUGCUAUACCACCAGAUCCUAGAUCCUAAAUUCAAAUUCAAUUCAACAAAAAAAAAAUCGCGUCUGUAUUUUAUCAAAUCGUUCUUCAUCUUAUUCCAGAUCAUCAAUCUGCAUACCAUAAUCAAAUUCAAAUUAAACCCCCACUUCUUCUCUCUCUCUAGAAGUUAAAAGAGACGACCUUUUUUUCUUUCGGUGAAUUGUUCUACACCUCCAUCUUUCCCAGUGAUUACAUAUUCAGGCGAUAUAUCAAGACGGAUGUAAUUGUAACCUACUUGAGGAGAGGUGGGCACCUAAGACGUUUGGAGCUUGAAGGUAUUCAAGAUGGACAUUGCGUGGGAGACUAUUGGUAAUUCUAUCGACUAUGGUAUACUCGCGAUGCACCAUAUGGAAACGUGGAAGGGGAUUACAGAAGAUAGAUGGUGUUGGGUUCCAACAGAACCAAAGAAAAUAAAAACCAGACUAACUUUUCUGGACCAUAUUUUGUGAUUUUGUUUUAAUUUAUAGUAUUCAAAUAUGUAUGAAAAAUCUUAUAGACUAUUUACUGUUUGUAGCGUCUUAUUAUUUCUAGGUUAUACUUGACAGUUGACUAUACAUAUGUGUACUGUUUUAUUAAGUUGUUUAUACAAAAGUACAUGUGUGUAUAAUACACUGGUUCGAGUUAUGUACACAUGUGCAGUGUAUUGACUUUUGUUAUAUUGACUUUUGUUAUACUUUUGCCAACUGAAA
Molecule: long non-coding RNA, 738 nt
Organism: Helianthus annuus (common sunflower)
Lineage: Eukaryota; Viridiplantae; Streptophyta; Magnoliopsida; Asterales; Asteraceae
Exons: 2
Source: RefSeq, a predicted model, not a curated record